Dimargaris cristalligena is the source of this 73-nucleotide non-coding RNA. Lineage: Eukaryota; Fungi; Kickxellomycota; Dimargaritomycetes; Dimargaritales; Dimargaritaceae. The record is from the annotation of a GenBank genome assembly.
GCUCGUUUGGCUCAGUUGGCAGAGCGUCAGUCUCAUAAUCUGAAGGUCGGGAGUUCGAGCCUCCCAAUGAGCA